CAAACAGGAUUAGAUACCCUGGUAGUCCACGCCCUAAACGAUGUAUACUAGUUGUUGCUAAGCUAGUCUUGGCAGUAAUGCACCUAACGGAUUAAGUAUACCGCCUGGGGAGUACGGUCGCAAGAUUAAAACUCAAAGGAAUAGACGGGGACCCGCACAAGCGGUGGAGCAUGUGGUUUAAUUCGAAGAUACGCGAAGAACCUUACCCGGACUUGAUAUCUAACAAAUCAUCUAGAGAUAGAAGAGUGUCUGCUUGCAGAAAUGUUAAGACAGGUGCUGCACGGCUGUCGUCAGCUCGUGUCGUGAGAUGUUGGGUUAAGUCCCGCAACGAGCGCAACCCACGUCAUUAGUUGCUAACAGUUCGGCUGAGCACUCUAAUGAGACUGCCUUCGUAAGGAGGAGGAAGGUGUGGACGACGUCAAGUCAUCAUGGCCCUUAUGUCCGGGGCGACACACGUGCUACAAUGGCAUAUACAAUGAGAAGCAAUAUCGCGAGAUGGAGCAAAUCUAUAAAAUAUGUCCCAGUUCGGAUUGGAGUCUGCAACUCGACUCCAUGAAGCCGGAAUCGCUAGUAAUCGUAGAUCAGCCAUGCUACGGUGAAUACGUUCCCGGGUCUUGUACUCACCGCCCGUCACACCAUGGGAGUUGAUUUCACUCGAAGCCGGAAUACUAAAUUAGUUACCGUCCACAGUGGAAUCAGCGACUGGGGUGAAGUCGUAACAAGGUAACCGUAGGAGAACCUGCGGUUG
Molecule: ribosomal RNA, 748 nt
Filed under: metagenome
Description: bacterial SSU rRNA
Rfam family: Bacterial small subunit ribosomal RNA
Source: RNAcentral